Molecule: long non-coding RNA, 551 nt
Organism: Chenopodium quinoa (quinoa)
Lineage: Eukaryota; Viridiplantae; Streptophyta; Magnoliopsida; Caryophyllales; Amaranthaceae
Exons: 4
Source: RefSeq, a predicted model, not a curated record
UCAAGCUCAAAGUUUCAAACUCAAAGAAGAAGGGGGUUGAUAUGAUCAGGGUUACUGAAGGGAGCAACUUGAUUCCCCUGAUGAUAACGAAUGCAAAUUGGAGCGCGUUGAGAUCAUAUAUCCGAUUUUAUAUGCUACCUUGUGGGUCUAAUAUUGAAGGCCUGUUCAGUAUGAAGUUUCUUCCGAGCUGUGAAAGGUACGGAGUAAUAUAUUUGGUCUCACAUUCCAUCCCAAACAAAAAGUUCUGGUACUGUAUUUGGUGAUCUUUUCCUUCUCUACACUGAACUGGUACGACGCUGUCGCCUUCACAGCUCUUCUCAGGGACACUGAAUUCCUGCUGCUGGUUAUACUGCUCGCAGAACUGAUUAUCUGCAGCACCUGAAUUAUACUCAAAGAGGUCCAGGUCCAGGAAUCCGUCCUCAGACAUCCUUCCAUCUGAGGGACCAUAUGUGCAACCGACAGGCAUAAUUGGGACCCGGUGGUGGCGGCGAGCCAAUGGGUUAGCUGAGUGAAUGUCAGCAUCACAGGUAGCACAGAGUGAUGCUGCAUCA